UGCAGCCAGUUCAUGUGUCAACAAGCGCAAAUUGUGAAAGAUGGCUUGGAAAAAUUCAGUUCAGAGUUCAAAGCGCCACCUUGCAACAAACAGCGCCAUGGAAACAGCUGUGGAGUGUUUGCAUUGAUGACUGCCAAAUGUUUGGUCGUGAAAAAGCAUCCCACAAUGUUGCGACAGGCCCAUGAUUCAGUUUAUCGAGACUAGUCGUGAGACGCAGACUUCUGAUUCAUGGAGUGCGGAAAACAUAUCUGUGCGACUCAAUCACUCCACUGUAAAGACCUGCACGGCAUUAAAAUGGAUAUUAUCAAUAUGUGUUGUUGCUCGAAAAUAUAUUUUUGUAGCAGGAA
Molecule: long non-coding RNA, 347 nt
Organism: Dreissena polymorpha
Lineage: Eukaryota; Metazoa; Mollusca; Bivalvia; Myida; Dreissenidae
Exons: 2
Source: RefSeq, a predicted model, not a curated record